This 253-nucleotide ribosomal RNA is filed under the name uncultured bacterium. Its description in RNAcentral is "partial 16S ribosomal RNA". It matches the Rfam family "Bacterial small subunit ribosomal RNA", at positions 524 to 776 of the family's 1533-position model. The record is from RNAcentral.
UACGUAGGGUCCGAGCGUUGUCCGGAAUUACUGGGCGUAAAGAGCUCGUAGGUGGUUUGUCGCGUUGUUCGUGAAAACUCACAGCUUAACUGUGGGCGUGCGGGCGAUACGGGCAGACUUGAGUACUGCAGGGGAGACUGGAAUUCCUGGUGUAGCGGUGGAAUGCGCAGAUAUCAGGAGGAACACCGGUGACGAAGGCGGGUCUCUGGGCAGUAACUGACGCUGAGGAGCGAAAGCGUGGGGAGCGAACAGG